GAACAGGGCGCGGAGUUUCGCGCUCUGUUUAACGAUACAGUAUCUUUACAUAAGAUAAAAUAUUGCUAU
RNAcentral lists this small RNA (69 nucleotides) under Escherichia coli W. RNAcentral describes it as "Plasmid_R1162 ncRNA". Lineage: Bacteria; Pseudomonadati; Pseudomonadota; Gammaproteobacteria; Enterobacterales; Enterobacteriaceae. The record is from RNAcentral.